UACGUAGGAGACGAGCGUUGUCCGGAGUUACUGGGCGUAAAGGGUGCGCAGGUGGCGGCGCGCGUGGGGGGUGAAAUCGCUCGGCUCAACUGGGCGGGGUCAGCGGAUACGGUCUCACUUGAGCAAGCUAGGGGGCAAGUGGAAUUCCCGGUGUAGUGGUGGGAAUGACGUAGAUAUCGGGAGGAACACCAGUGGCGAAGGCGGUUGCCUGGGGCUUUGCUGACGCUGAUGCGCGAAAGCGUGGGGAGCAAACAGGG
RNAcentral lists this ribosomal RNA (257 nucleotides) under uncultured bacterium. RNAcentral describes it as "partial 16S ribosomal RNA". It matches the Rfam family "Bacterial small subunit ribosomal RNA", at positions 524 to 777 of the family's 1533-position model. The record is from RNAcentral.